RNAcentral lists this ribosomal RNA (253 nucleotides) under uncultured bacterium. RNAcentral's name for it is "partial 16S ribosomal RNA". It matches the Rfam family "Bacterial small subunit ribosomal RNA", at positions 524 to 776 of the family's 1533-position model. The record is from RNAcentral.
UACGUAGGUGGCAAGCGUUGUCCGGAAUUAUUGGGCGUAAAGGGCUCGUAGGCGGUUUGUCACGUCGGGAGUGAAAACUCAGGGCUUAACCCUGAGCCUGCUUCCGAUACGGGCAGACUAGAGGUAUGCAGGGGAGAACGGAAUUCCUGGUGUAGCGGUGAAAUGCGCAGAUAUCAGGAGGAACACCGGUGGCGAAGGCGGUUCUCUGGGCAUUACCUGACGCUGAGGAGCGAAAGUGUGGGGAGCGAACAGG